UCCACUUAAUUUGAGGGCUGAGGGGAGAAGGUGUGUAUUUUAAGUGUUUGGAAUGCAUCCCUAUUGUGUUGUAUUGGGAUUGUGCCACGGAGCAUUAUGGGGGUUCUACGUGGUGAGAAAUUUAGUGACGUUGGAUAGAGAUUAAAAGUGAAUAAUGAUAUUUGAGCAUUUUUUUUAUAUUAUUAAAUUCAAAUUCGUUUUUUUUAAUACAGGAGAGCGAGGAGGUAUAUUACAUAGUUUUCUCGGAUUUAGAACUUUAUUUUUGUGUGCAGUUAGCAAGCCAAAUGUAAAUAAAUUAUACAAAUUCCGCUAGCUAGCGUUACCAGCGCGAGUGUGCAGUUAUCUCCUCCAGAAUGGUAGAAUGGCCAACGCUGCCGAAAAUGUUGUGGAUUUUUUUGGUUGAAAAAACAUUUUCAGUCUCUGGGGUACUCGGAAAAGGCGCGAAUUAAAAGCGAGGGUCGAACUCUGCUUGAGAUCGGUUUCAUGAAGAAGAAAGCAAGAUGGAUUGUAUUGAUGAGAGAAUCAAAAGAGCUUUAAGACGCCGCCCUUAUGUGUUGAAUCCAAUGAGGGUAAACACCCCUGAUUCUGUGAUGUGGCUAACCGGCAAAGGGGCACCGAAGAUCAAAGCCUCCAAUCGUUGUGAGCUGUGGGCAGGACCAAACAUCUGGGGAUGGAGCAUCAAUCCAGAGCUUCUCAGCCAGGUCAUCUCUGCUAUUCCCAUAGAGACACAACAGAUAGAUCAAUCUGUUGAUUCAUAUGGCCAUUUUGGUUGGCUUGGUUGAAUUGACAAUUAUCCAUUCGAGAUGCUAAAGAAUCGUAUACUG
Molecule: long non-coding RNA, 824 nt
Organism: Oncorhynchus gorbuscha (pink salmon)
Lineage: Eukaryota; Metazoa; Chordata; Actinopteri; Salmoniformes; Salmonidae
Exons: 4
Source: RefSeq, a predicted model, not a curated record